This 761-nucleotide ribosomal RNA is filed under the name Prevotella melaninogenica. Its description in RNAcentral is "bacterial SSU rRNA". It matches the Rfam family "Bacterial small subunit ribosomal RNA", at positions 28 to 776 of the family's 1533-position model. Lineage: Bacteria; Pseudomonadati; Bacteroidota; Bacteroidia; Bacteroidales; Prevotellaceae. The record is from RNAcentral.
GAUGAACGCUAGCUACAGGCUUAACACAUGCAAGUCGAGGGGAAACGGCAUUAAGUGCUUGCACUUUUUGGACGUCGACCGGCGCACGGGUGAGUAACGAGUAUCCAACCUUCCCAUGACUAAGGGAUAACCUGCCGAAAGGCAGACUAAUACCUUAUGGUCUUCACUGACGGCAUCAGAUGUGAAGUAAAGAUUUAUCGGUCAUGGAUGGGGAUGCGUCUGAUUAGCUUGUUGGCGGGGUAACGGCCCACCAAGGCAACGAUCAGUAGGGGCUCUGAGAGGAAGGUCCCCCACAUUGGAACUGAGACACGGUCCAAACUCCUACGGGAGGCAGCAGUGAGGAAUAUUGGUCAAUGGGCGAGAGCCUGAACCAGCCAAGUAGCGUGCAGGAAGACGGCCCUAUGGGUUGUAAACUGCUUUUGUAUGGGGAUAAAGUCAAUCACGUGUGAUUGUUUGCAGGUACCAUACGAAUAAGGACCGGCUAAUUCCGUGCCAGCAGCCGCGGUAAUACGGAAGGUCCGGGCGUUAUCCGGAUUUAUUGGGUUUAAAGGGAGCGUAGGCUGGAGAUUAAGUGUGUUGUGAAAUGUAGACGCUCAACGUCUGACUUGCAGCGCAUACUGGUUUCCUUGAGUACGCACAACGUUGGCGGAAUUCGUCGUGUAGCGGUGAAAUGCUUAGAUAUGACGAAGAACUCCGAUUGCGAAGGCAGCUGACGGGAGCGCAACUGACGCUGAAGCUCGAAGGUGCGGGUAUCGAACAGG